This is a long non-coding RNA of Homarus americanus (American lobster), 445 nucleotides long. RefSeq lists it as uncharacterized. The record is from RefSeq and is a predicted model, not a curated record. The transcript has 2 exons. Lineage: Eukaryota; Metazoa; Arthropoda; Malacostraca; Decapoda; Nephropidae.
UGGUGGUGACGCUGGCGGGUAGACGGGUGGUGUACGACGCUCGUUUCCCCAGGUCUCGGAAACAAUGGAACUCGGUAUUGAUGUGUGAUACAGAACAAGUGUGUUGACUAUGGUGCAGGUGUGGAUAACUCGGACGCAGCUGUGUGGUCCCCGUCUUGCUGCCCACACUGCACCCAGGACGUAAAUAAAUACAACAAAACACAAAACAAUACUCAAACAUUUCUAUCAUAAAAAAGAAAAUAAUAAACAAACAAACCUCAAGACAGUUCCUUCCCAACCCUCUCCAUCUACCGUCUCCGCCAAAAAGAAGGGAGAUCGCCAGUUACCUCAGUUACCCCUUCGUAAAAAAAAAACCAGGAGAGAAAACGAUUUAAACCCAUCAAGUUAAUCUGGGUGGUGGACCGAAGACGUUCACCUCCUACACCUCCCCUACCUCCCCCUCCAC